Molecule: ribosomal RNA, 467 nt
Filed under: uncultured bacterium
Lineage: Bacteria
Description: partial 16S ribosomal RNA
Rfam family: Bacterial small subunit ribosomal RNA
Source: RNAcentral
GACGAACGCUGGCGGCGUGCUUAACACAUGCCAGUCGAACGGAAAGGCCCUGCUUUUGUGGGGUGCUCGAGUGGCGAACGGGUGAGUAACACGUGAGUAACCUGCCCUUGACUUUGGGAUAACUUCAGGAAACUGGGGCUAAUACCGGAUAGGAGCUCCUGCUGCAUGGUGGGGGUUGGAAAGUUUCGGCGGUUGGGGAUGGACUCGCGGCUUAUCAGCUGGUUGGUGGGGUAGGAGCUUACCAAGGCUUUGACGGGUAGCCGGCCUGAGAGGGUGACAGGCCACAUUGGGCUUGGGAUGGGGGCCGGACGCAUACGGGAGGCAGCGGUGGGGAAUAUUGCACAAUGGGCGGAGGGAGGAUGGAGCAACGCCGCGUGCGGGAUGACGGCCUUCGGGUUGUAAACCGCUUUCGCCUGUGACGAAGCGUGAGUGACGGAAAUAAGUAAAGAAGCACCGGCUAACUACGU